Molecule: transfer RNA, 85 nt
Filed under: Candidatus Phocaeicola faecigallinarum
Lineage: Bacteria; Pseudomonadati; Bacteroidota; Bacteroidia; Bacteroidales; Bacteroidaceae
Description: tRNA-Ser
Rfam family: tRNA
About the family: Transfer RNA (tRNA) molecules are approximately 80 nucleotides in length. Their secondary structure includes four short double-helical elements and three loops (D, anti-codon, and T loops). Further hydrogen bonds mediate the characteristic L-shaped molecular structure. tRNAs have two regions of fundamental functional importance: the anti-codon, which is responsible for specific mRNA codon recognition, and the 3' end, to which the tRNAs corresponding amino acid is attached (by aminoacyl-tRNA synthetases). tRNAs cope with the degeneracy of the genetic code in two manners: having more than one tRNA (with a specific anti-codon) for a particular amino acid; and 'wobble' base-pairing, i.e. permitting non-standard base-pairing at the 3rd anti-codon position.
Source: RNAcentral
GGAGAGUUGGCAGAGUGGUCGAUUGCGGCGGUCUUGAAAACCGCUGAGGUGCGAGCCUCCGGGGGUUCGAAUCCCUCACUCUCCG